Molecule: ribosomal RNA, 451 nt
Filed under: uncultured soil bacterium
Lineage: Bacteria
Description: bacterial SSU rRNA
Rfam family: Bacterial small subunit ribosomal RNA
Source: RNAcentral
AGAGCGAACGCUGGCGGCAGGCCUAACACAUGCAAGUCGAACGGACUCUUCGGAGUUAGUGGCGGACGGGUGAGUAACACGUGGGAACGUGCCUUUUGGUUCGGAAUAGCUCCUGGAAACGGGUGGUAAUGCCGAAUGUGCCCCCUCCUUUGAUCGGGGGGUGGGAAAGAUUUAUCGCCAUUAGAGCGGCCCGCGUCUGAUUAGCUAGUUGGUGAGGUAAAGGCUCACCAAGGCGACGAUCAGUAGCUGGUCUGAGAGGAUGACCAGCCACAUUGGGACUGAGACACGGCCCAAACUCCUACGGGAGGCAGCAGUGGGAAUCUUGCGCAAUGGGCAAAGCCUGACGCAGCCAUGCCGCGUGAAUGAUGAAGGUCUUAGGAUUGUAAAAUUCUUUCACGGGACAUAAUGACGGUACCGGAGAAGAAGCCCGCUAACUCGUGCCAGCAGCCGC